This is a non-coding RNA of Oryza meridionalis, 204 nucleotides long. NCBI's taxonomy places the organism in Eukaryota, Viridiplantae, Streptophyta, Magnoliopsida, Poales, Poaceae. The record is from Rfam.
UUUAAAUGCAACCAUAAGUUUUCGCAUCCAACUUUGAUCGUCCGUUUUAUUUAAAAAAAAUUUUAAUUAGUACUUUUGUUGUUAUGAGAUGAUGAAAUAUGAAUAGUACUUUACUCGUGACAUAUGUUUUUAAUUUUUUUAAAAAAAAUUUUAAAUAAGACGAAGGGUAAAAGUUGGGUGCGAAAAACUAUGGCUGCACUUAAA